This is a small nuclear RNA of Rhinopithecus bieti (black snub-nosed monkey), 105 nucleotides long. The record is from Ensembl. NCBI's taxonomy places the organism in Eukaryota, Metazoa, Chordata, Mammalia, Primates, Cercopithecidae.
GUGCUCACUUGGGCACCACAUAUACUAAAACUGGAGCAAGACAGAGAAGAUUAGCAUGGCCCCUGUGAAGGAUGACACACAAUUAAUGAAGCGUUCCAUACUUCG